RNAcentral lists this transfer RNA (68 nucleotides) under Tetraogallus tibetanus (Tibetan snowcock). RNAcentral's name for it is "tRNA-Phe". It matches the Rfam family "tRNA". From Rfam's summary of the family: Transfer RNA (tRNA) molecules are approximately 80 nucleotides in length. Their secondary structure includes four short double-helical elements and three loops (D, anti-codon, and T loops). Further hydrogen bonds mediate the characteristic L-shaped molecular structure. tRNAs have two regions of fundamental functional importance: the anti-codon, which is responsible for specific mRNA codon recognition, and the 3' end, to which the tRNAs corresponding amino acid is attached (by aminoacyl-tRNA synthetases). tRNAs cope with the degeneracy of the genetic code in two manners: having more than one tRNA (with a specific anti-codon) for a particular amino acid; and 'wobble' base-pairing, i.e. permitting non-standard base-pairing at the 3rd anti-codon position. Lineage: Eukaryota; Metazoa; Chordata; Aves; Galliformes; Phasianidae. The record is from RNAcentral.
GCCCCCAUAGCUUAGCCCAAAGCAUGGCAUUGAAGAUGCCAAGACGGUACAUAAACUACCUGCGGGCA